AACGAACGCUGGCGGCGCGCUUAAUACAUGCAAGUCGAACGAGAAGGUGUAGCAAUACACUUGUAAAGUGGCGAACGGGUGAGGAAUACAUGGGUAACCUACCCUCGAGUGGGGAACAACCAGCCGAAAGGUUGGCUAAUACCGCGUACGCUUCCGGGUCUUCGGAUUCGGAAGGAAAGUCAUACCGUGGGUAUGACGCUCAAGGAUGGGCUCAUGUCCUAUCAGCUUGUUGGUAGGGUAACGGCCACCAAGGCUCCGACGGGUAGCUGGUCUGAGAGGACGAUCAGCCACACUGGCACUGCGACACGGGCCAGACUCCUACGGGAGGCAGCAGUAAGGAAUAUUGCGCAAUGGGCGAAAGCCUGACGCAGCGACGCCG
RNAcentral lists this ribosomal RNA (379 nucleotides) under uncultured bacterium. RNAcentral's name for it is "bacterial SSU rRNA". It matches the Rfam family "Bacterial small subunit ribosomal RNA", at positions 29 to 399 of the family's 1533-position model. The record is from RNAcentral.